This 106-nucleotide small nuclear RNA is filed under the name Sciurus vulgaris (Eurasian red squirrel). The record is from RNAcentral. Lineage: Eukaryota; Metazoa; Chordata; Mammalia; Rodentia; Sciuridae.
GUGCUUGCUUUGGCAGCACAUAUACUAAAUUGGAACAAUGCAGAGAAGAUUAACAUGGCCCCUACACAAGGAUGACACGCAAAUUUGUGAAGCAUUCCAUAUUUUU